RNAcentral lists this ribosomal RNA (368 nucleotides) under uncultured organism. Its description in RNAcentral is "bacterial SSU rRNA". It matches the Rfam family "Bacterial small subunit ribosomal RNA", at positions 526 to 896 of the family's 1533-position model. The record is from RNAcentral.
CGGAGGGUGCAAGCGUUGUCCGGAUUCAUUGGGUUUAAAGGGUGCGCAGGCGGGACAUUAAGUCAGGGGUGAAAGACGGUUGCUCAACAAUCGCAGUGCCUUUGAUACUGGUGUUCUUGGGUGACGGUGAGGUAGGCGGAAUGGGUGGUGUAGCGGUGAAAUGCAUAGAUACCACCCAGAACUCCGAUUGCGAAGGCAGCCUACUGGUCGUUAACCGACGCUCAGGCACGAAAGCGUGGGGAUCAAACAGGAUUAGAUACCCUGGUAGUCCACGCCGUAAACGAUGAUCACUCGCUGUGGGAAGGUCACUUUCCGCGGCUUAGCGAAAGCGUUAAGUGAUCCACCUGGGGAGUACGCUCGCAAGGGUG